UACAGAGGUCUCAAGCGUUGUUCGGAAUCACUGGGCGUAAAGCGUGCGUAGGCUGUUGUGUAAGUUGGGGGUGAAAUCCCACGGCUCAACCGUGGAACAGCCCUUGAUACUGCGCGACUUGAAUCCGGGAGAGGGUGGCGGAAUUCCAGGUGUAGGAGUGAAAUCCGUAGAUAUCUGGAGGAACAUCAGUGGCGAAGGCGGCCACCUGGACCGGUAUUGACGCUGAGGCGCGAAAGCGUGGGGAGCAAACAGG
Molecule: ribosomal RNA, 253 nt
Filed under: uncultured Desulfovibrio sp.
Lineage: Bacteria; Pseudomonadati; Thermodesulfobacteriota; Desulfovibrionia; Desulfovibrionales; Desulfovibrionaceae
Description: partial 16S ribosomal RNA
Rfam family: Bacterial small subunit ribosomal RNA
Source: RNAcentral